AGCAGCAAUGAUCCUAAUGGAGGAGAAUGUGAGUAUCCAAAACAGGUGUAGUCCAUAAAGCAGUCUGAGGGUAGACAGCUGAGAGGCUUCCUGCUCCUACCCAUCCAUCAAGGACGCAGAUCCUAAGAAUCCACUGACAAAAGCAAGCCAGAAGUCAGUUCUUGGAUGGACUAAAGCCCUAGGAAGAUUCUCAUAACAGGAACAAGGAAAAGUGGCUAACUCAGAAGACCAGGACUGAUGGGUGCUGAGAGGAGAGAAAGCAAGGAAGGAGGCGUCAGGAUGAGGAACUGAAGAGUAGAAAACACAACUCCAGGGCUGACAAGGAGCACAAUGGCCUACCCUGCCUGCUCUCCAGACACGGUAAUACAUUGUAUCUGUUUCAAUCAAAUCUUACAGGCCUAGGAGCCAUUCUGUCUUUUUAAGCUACCUACUGUGGUUCCUGCCUGGACUUUCCCCGUAAUUCAGAUCUUCUUGCUCCUCCCCCAAGAAUGGCUCAAAACCCCUAGAUGUAUGAAGCAUCUUUACCUACCCCAGUCCUCCCUUGAUGCUGCCUUCUGGAGUUCAAGUCCCCCUACCCAGAAACUUGACGAUCAAACUACCCAAAUUGGGAAGACAGCUGCUGUGCAUGAGGAUACUCAAGCAGGCCUGUAGAGACGUUGACAUGAAGAGGAGCUAAGACCUCCCACCAACAACCAUACCAAUUUGCCAGCUAUGUAGGUGAGCCACUUUGGAAGUAGACCACAGCUCCAGUCAAGACUUCAGACGACAGCAGAGUUUUAGCCAACAUCUUGACUGCAACCUCAUGAGAGACCCAAGCCAGAACUGCCCAGCUAAGCUGCUCCUGGACUCCUGAUCCACAGAAACUUGAAAUUACGGUGCUCACCCCCUCAGCCUUCCUCACCACAAAACACCACCUUCCAACAGAAAGAAUCGCUGUCACGGGGUGGAGGAUAAAAAGAGGUGUCUCAGCCAAGGACUUAAAGGGUAGAAGACAAAUUAUUUUGCCUCCUGCACAGUUUGUCAACCUCCAAUGGAACUUUCUGAGACACCAUACUAGAGCCUGCAGAUGGGAUCCUGGAAAACUGGCAGAAGCUGAAGAAAGAAAUGCCUCCUGUUAAAUACCUGAUUUCUCACACAACAUAGGCCUAACUUUGGGAGCCCAGUGUAUCACCACCUCCUGAUGAGAUAUAACUAUUUAACUGAACUGACCUAUUCUCAAGACUGAGAUGGUUCAAUGAGAUCUGGAGCAAUCUAUCAACCUACCUUCUGGACUGUGAAACUUAUUUGGAGUUUCAGUGGCAGAACAGAGAGGGAACAGAAUAUACCACACCGAAGUAUGCCUCUUUGGCAUAAGGAUUAUUUCAGGCUAUUUUUAAGAAAUAGCAGAUACAAAAGAUCUGAAAACCAAGUAGAAGCUACCUUUUUGCAAGAGAUAUUUAUAAGAAAAAUCUCUAUUUGUAAAGGCAUCUCCCUGUCUGUAGAGGAAGAGAAGGAUGACUCUAAAUCUCUAGAAAUUCUCAUCAAUGGGAAAGGCAAUGACUUAAAGCUGCAUAACAAUCUUACCCUUAUUUACUGCGCUUUUCCUGGUAAACUCCCAAAGCUGCUUCCCCACUCCACAACAUCUUCUGUCUUUAGAUGGAGAUGUUUCUUAAGGUGGUGGCUUGGGCUAUUUCAGAGAGUUAUUCAAUUUUCCUGGGUAUCUUCCAUGUAUACAAAAGGUUUACAUGUUAUUAAACUUUCACUUGUUUUUCUGCUUUUACUCUAUCAUUUUAUUACAGUGGUGUUUUAGCCAAGAACCUAGAAGGGCAGAGGGAAAAUUAUUUUUUCUCCCCAUACAUGCUUCCCUUUAUGCUUUCAAUAGAGCUGUAUCUGAGAAGGGAGAGAGUUGCUUUGCAGAAUUACUGCACAUGAGACAGAUUUUGGCACUGUGUUUGCUUCUAGUAAGGUAACUCAAAUUUUUUAUUUUCAAUGUGGUCUCCUGGUCUCUCUACGAUGUUC
This 1998-nucleotide long non-coding RNA is filed under the name Equus caballus (horse). RNAcentral describes it as "lncRNA (ENSECAG00000033075.3)". The record is from RNAcentral. Lineage: Eukaryota; Metazoa; Chordata; Mammalia; Perissodactyla; Equidae.